Molecule: long non-coding RNA, 2095 nt
Filed under: Homo sapiens (human)
Lineage: Eukaryota; Metazoa; Chordata; Mammalia; Primates; Hominidae
Description: long non-coding RNA NONHSAT168622.1
Source: RNAcentral
CCAGGAGGUCAAAGCUGCAGUGAGCUGUGAUUGCAGCACUGUGCUAGCCUGGGCAACACAGAGAGACCCCAUCUCUUGAAAACAAAACAGAACAGGCCUCCUUGAGAAGUGUCAUUCCACCUGUUAUGAAUCCAGGCUUAAUCCAAAGCCCCUACUCUCACUUCUUCCAGGUUCCCUCCUGGCCCCGCUGCCCCUCCCUGAUCCUUCAGCCCCAGGCAUCCUGUAGUAUCCGAGUGAGAUAAAGGCAGACUUUGGCUCCUCUGAUAAACUUCAGCAGUGUGGAUCUCUCCGCCCCACGUCAUGAGUGAUCAACGUUCUUCUGUGGAGACUCCUGGCGUCCAGCUGAAAGUCGUGCGGCUGAGACCUCCGCGGUGCCACAGAGAAAAUAGGUGUGGGGGCUGCACGGGGCCUUGAAAACUACCCAGAUACCCCCGUGGAGAACGCUGGUGGGAGACUGGGCGUUCCUCAAAGUCCCGAGUGGCACAGCUGUUAGUGCUCAUCUCCAGAAACCCACAGCACCUGCCCCCACGAAAUCUGUGGAGAACACGAGCAGGCGGUGCAAAUAAUUCUGACUCCUCGGCGGAAGAACAGGAAUAAGAAGGCCCGGCCUGGCCGUGGGUUGCUGGGUGAAAAGCAGCAUUGCAUUCGAAAGAGUAAGCGUUCUGAGGGCCGAGGGGAAGAGGCGACAUGCAAGUUCCCACGGAGAGGAAGAAUUGUUAAUGGCAAAAGAAUCCCAAUGGAAGAAUCCCCACUGUCCUCUCCUCAGGCUGAUGGCAAAACUUCUCCCACCCAGAUGACCUCCCUCCACCAACACCUGAGAGGCCCUCAGGCGAUCUGAUGCGAGGCCAGGCCGCUGGGGGCCUCCGGCAGGGACAGUCCGCAGAAGGAGGAAGGCAGAUGGCAGAAGCGGCAGUGCUGUCCGGUAGGGAAGGCCCCGACGUCCGCCCUUCCCCAGACCGUGGGCUCCCCUCGCUUCCAGGGGUGGAGGAGAGAAGAGCUGGAGAAACGUGCCACGACUCAAACAAAUUUACUUCCGUGGUGGAUUCUGAUUUUUUUGAACAAAAUGAGGUUUCUUUCUGUGGUCCAACCUACCACCCUCAUAUUUCCAGCAGAAGGAACAUGAAAUGAAAAAGGAAAAAAGCCCUUACAAUAUCAUACGAGUUUCUCUACCAGCACAUCAUGCUGGUGUCCUAAAGAAGCCAGACAGCAGAGUUAACGGGUACAAGUUUAAACGUUGUCAUCAUAUUUUAUUCUGUGUUCAAAACCACUUUCGUGAUUUCCCUAAUAACACAUGCAAAGUCUCCUUUGAAGUUAUGGAAGAGGGGCGGUGUGUGUGUUUUCUAUUUUUCUUUUUUCUAAAUGUACCGAUAGGCUGGCCUGGGCUGGGAUUGGAUAGAGAAGUUGAGAGAAAAGGCAGAAACCACCUGUCUCUUGAAGUUUGCCUGCUGGUCCCCUAGCAACUGGUUUCUUGUUUGAGGCAUAUUUGAGCCAUAUAGGGAAGACUCAGAAUGCUGUAAAGGGGCACAGAAUUACUCUCCCACUGGAUAAUGAAGUUGUUUUUAAUUACAAUAAUAUAAACACUACAUUUAAGCAGCAGUGAAGGAAAGCAGGAAGUUUGCAGAAUGAGCUUUUCUGAGUUACCGUAUCUGCUGUUGUGACAAGAGGAGCAGGUGUGUGCUAGGGGCCACCAUUGACUUCUGGCUUGCAGGAGCCUGAGUCGCUCAUUCAGCUUUGUCCGUGCCCACAGGGGCCAGGCAGGCUGCAGUCACAAGGGAGUUAAACAGGCGAGACACUGGAGAGCAGAGCUGGGCCUCGAGGGAGGCCGCUGUGUGAACUUGUAGGAGGCAUUCGCUCCUGGAGGUGCAAAAGCCGACGAUGUGCUUGCAUGGCUCUGAGAGCAAGACCACAGGCAUUUAGCACCUGGGUCCCUCACCUGCCUUGCCCCAGGCCCCUCUGGAGAGGACAUGUCCCACCUAGAGUGGCAUCUGCAGCUGAAUGCUGCCAUGUGAAACAGAGCCCGGUUACUGGACCACUUGGUAAAGAAACAACAGAAAUCUAGAUUUUUUGGGGUGGAGAGAUGAACUGAAAUCUCCCA